AAUCGCAGUGACGACUCAAAAAAUUCAAGCUCAACAGACCGGAUUGCAGGUUUUGAUUACUUGCGUGUCGAUAAACCCGCUGAACUGAGCGUUU
RNAcentral lists this small nucleolar RNA (94 nucleotides) under Erythranthe guttata (spotted monkey flower). RNAcentral's name for it is "Mimulus guttatus (spotted monkey flower) Small nucleolar RNA Z107/R87". It matches the Rfam family "Small nucleolar RNA Z107/R87". Rfam says of the family: Z107 and R87 are members of the C/D class of snoRNA which contain the C (UGAUGA) and D (CUGA) box motifs. Most of the members of the box C/D family function in directing site-specific 2'-O-methylation of substrate RNA Lineage: Eukaryota; Viridiplantae; Streptophyta; Magnoliopsida; Lamiales; Phrymaceae. The record is from Rfam by way of RNAcentral.